RNAcentral lists this transfer RNA (80 nucleotides) under Lentinula boryana. RNAcentral's name for it is "tRNA-Leu". It matches the Rfam family "tRNA". Rfam says of the family: Transfer RNA (tRNA) molecules are approximately 80 nucleotides in length. Lineage: Eukaryota; Fungi; Basidiomycota; Agaricomycetes; Agaricales; Omphalotaceae. RNAcentral also lists the same sequence under 5 other names. The record is from RNAcentral.
GGCGACAUGGCCGAGUGGUCUAAGGCGCUAGAAUCAGGAUCUAGUCAUUCGUGGCGUGGGUUCGAAUCCCACUGUCGUCA